GGGAAGGGAGCGCGGCCGGAGCGGCUGCGGCGCGUGGCCUGAGGCGGAGAGCCGGGCGGGCGGCUGGGGUCUGGGCCCGGCCCGGCGCCGGCCUGACCCGCCUCGCUAGCAAAUGCAGGCCGGGCUUCCUCCUCCUCCUCGGCGGGCGGCGGGGGAGGGGAGGGGACUCCGGGUCGGGGCAGGAGGGAAAGGUGGUCCUGAUUCUCCCGUGGCCAGAGCCCACAAAACUAUCCUGACCUCCCGCGGAGACGCCUCUGCGCCCUCCCGCAGACCUGCUGCGCCCCUUCUCAGGCACCCGGGCCUCUGCAGGGUCCAGAGAGACGCCCCCUCCCUGGGAGCAGCGGGAAGAGCUCCGGGGGACAGAGGAGGCCACCGAGAAGGAUGCUGCCGCCGUCGCCCUAACAGUAGAGCACGGGCUCGGGUAUCGCACGAGGCCUCCCCUUUCUAGGUAAGGGGCUGGCCAGGGCCCUGAACGCCUGGGACCUCCACCCCGGAGUCAAGCGAGGUGCAGCCACCGCCCUCCGAAGAGCGGGCUCUGGUGCGGAGUGUGGGACAACUGGCGACACUUUGGCCUAUCUGAAACCCCAGGCCUCAAGGCGGCUGCUUUAGGCUUCAAGUUGAGCGGGGUCCCUCCCACCUGCCCUCCCCGAGGCACGGAGACCCUAUCCGGUGGAAGUGGGGAACCCCUAGUCCCCGCAGAAACGGAGUCCCUGGCGCAAGGAGGUGGAGCGGGUUCCGCAGCCUCAGCCCUGGCGUCGUGGACUCAGCGGAAACCCACGCGGCCAGCAACACCCACCCGAACCUGGCGACUGGCGCGACCAGGCGAGCUCCGCGGGGCCGCGGUGCGGGAAGAGGCUGCCUUGGGGCGCGAACGCAGCCCGCCGAGGGUAACCAGGAACGCGGAGCCUCGGGGUUGAAGUCCUAAAGUUACUAAUCUGGCUCAGGGGUAGAGAGCGUGCCUCAGACCGCCCGGGGCGGUCAUUUGAGCGUGUUUACUUAAGGACUUUGCAAGCCGAGCGCGCGCGAAAUAGUCGGAUUUCCAGCGAGGCAGCAAAUAUUUGCAGGCGGGAGAAAGAAGCGGAGCCGGACCGCGCCGCCGCGUCCCUCCCCCUGGAGCCGCGGCGCCGGCCUGGGCGGACCCAGCCGUGCUGUUAAGGACUGAAAUGAAGCCGGGAACCUGCGGGGCUGGGGGGCGGGGAGGGCUCCGAGCAGCUCCAAAGGGCAGCAAAGGGGAGCAAGGCCCGCGGCCCUGGCGAGCCUGGGCUGGGGGAGAAGUCCCUUCCCAUUCCAGCUCGAUCAAUCUUCCUUGGCUGCGAUCGGUCAAUAAAAAUGGUGUGAAACGGU
This is a long non-coding RNA of Cavia porcellus (domestic guinea pig), 1344 nucleotides long. RefSeq lists it as uncharacterized. The record is from RefSeq and is a predicted model, not a curated record. Lineage: Eukaryota; Metazoa; Chordata; Mammalia; Rodentia; Caviidae. The transcript is spliced from 2 exons.